RNAcentral lists this long non-coding RNA (1528 nucleotides) under Anser cygnoides (Swan goose). RNAcentral's name for it is "lncRNA (ENSACDG00005005691.1)". The record is from RNAcentral. Lineage: Eukaryota; Metazoa; Chordata; Aves; Anseriformes; Anatidae.
UGCGUCUCCAUUAAAGAUCCAAGAGGACAACUUGUACUUCUAGCUAAUGUAAUUGGGUACCUCCAGCAGGAAAGUGCCUGGAAUGGAAAGAGCAAGGAGAUUCAAUUCGAGGCUUGAAGUUUUAAAAGACCUCAAGAGGGAAAAAGAGAGUUCAGUGAAGGCAGAUGCUUUCCUGAGAGAAAGGGAAAAGCUUUGAAGGAGGAUGAUGCUAUAUUUUGGUUGAUGUUAACAGGGUAAAGUGAGCCUCUUUGGAAGUUGUAAGUCUAAACCACUGUGUAAAGGAGCCAAAAAAAGCUCUUACAGAGCCCAAUUUACUCCUAAAAGGUAGUGAUGAAAUGCUGGAGACAUCCUGCAUCGUUCAAGUCAAUUGUUCCUUAAAUGGGAGCAAAGUUUGGCCAGCUGGCAGGAAUCUCUUUCUCCUUUCAAUUCAUUCAUUCUUCUCCAGAAACCCCUGCAGACAAUGUCACCAAAGUCACCAUGUUUCCCUAUCCCCUCCUGAUUAGUAACGCAUUAAGGUAAAUUGCCUAUAUUUGCCAUCCACAGUCAUUUAUCCAUGCUGGACCCAGUACUUUCUCCCAGAGAAAUGAGGUCUCUCUCCUUCAAGCUAUUUAUUUUUAUUUUUUAUUUUAUUUUAUUUUAUUUUAUUUAUUCAAGCCAUUAUUUUUUCUGUAGUAUAGCCAUCUGUUUUCAGCCGGAGAAGAGCAUCAGAUUGAGUUGAAAAUUUGAGACGUACCUCAGUUAAAUUCAGUGAUGUUGGAAUCAGGAGGAGGUAAAGUGAAGAUAAAAAGGUUUGAACAGUCUAUUUUGUAUACUAUUAUACAUGAAUCAGCACACAAUCUACUGACUAAUUUACCCCAGCAAAUGACAACCUGCGAGACCUCAGCAGCAGAGGAAUUGCCAAGAGAUGCCUUUCACAGCAGUCAUAAGGCUAUUCCAGUCUACAGUGGAAAGCCACCUUUUCAAUAAAACUGGUAAUGAUUUUCUUUCAAUGCCAGGCUGGCAAGAUCUACAGAAAGGAUAGAUUUAUUUAUUUAUUUAUUUCAGUGUUGCAAGGACCUGAUUAUCUGAUCUUAACUGCAAUCAUUCUGGGACCUUGCACAGGGCUCGUUCCAUAUUCCUGAGAGAGUGUGGGAAGUUGUUGUUGACUUUGGUGGAAAAUGAGGAGCCUUUUUACACCGUCUGAGGAUUAUACUCAUAAAUACAUUUUUUUCUACCUUUGUUUUUUAUUACUUAAAUAGAUUUGGUGUUUCCCUACAGAGGUGAUAGGUACUACAGAGACAAAGCACAUGUCAUAAAAAUUCAGUACCAAAAAAAAAAAAGACAACUCUGUAAUAUAAUCAGCAAUAAGGUCCUUAAUUAUUGUUAUUGAACCUUGAAGUUAUAAUAGGUCUUCUUUUGUUUUCUGCAUUCCCUUCAACAGUUUCAACAUUCUCCUUCGGCAAUUCUUUUCUGUGCAGUAUCUAACAACAAAUAAUUACACAAGUCUGUCAAAAAAUAAAAAUAAAAUAAAUCCUGAGAUGCUAUACCA